RNAcentral lists this transfer RNA (83 nucleotides) under Candidatus Bathyarchaeota archaeon. RNAcentral describes it as "tRNA-Ser". It matches the Rfam family "tRNA". From Rfam's summary of the family: Transfer RNA (tRNA) molecules are approximately 80 nucleotides in length. Their secondary structure includes four short double-helical elements and three loops (D, anti-codon, and T loops). Lineage: Archaea; Thermoproteati; Candidatus Bathyarchaeota. The record is from RNAcentral.
GCAGUGGUAAUCAAGUGGUUAAGAUGCCAGCCUGCUAAGCUGGUGCCUGUAAGGGCGCGAGGGUUCGAAUCCCUCCCACUGCG